This is an RNA transcript of Drosophila hydei, 6675 nucleotides long. It is a transcript of the gene named THO complex subunit 2, with no coding region annotated. The record is from RefSeq and is a predicted model, not a curated record. The transcript is spliced from 14 exons. Lineage: Eukaryota; Metazoa; Arthropoda; Insecta; Diptera; Drosophilidae.
GAUAGACAAUUUUUUCAGACACAUCUCUCACACUCAAAAAGGCGGAGAAAAGUGAGAAAAUUUGUCAAAUUUUUCAAUAAACAACAUAAAAUUUGUAAAUAAAGCAAAUAAAAUACGUGUUGCCCGCGUGUUGUAAUAAAUAGUUUGUAUGCGUCGCUUGAAGAAACUGUCGAAGAGUCACAGCGUGACGGGUACGCAAGAAAAUGAUGCAUCGCCGACGACAGUCACAGCAACAACAACUGCGCCUGAUGCGGCGGCCCUGACGGAUGCCAAUGGAGAUGGCGGUAGUGCGAGUAAAGAAACACUACUCAAUGCAGAUAUUUUUAAACAUUUUGAUAAGUCUGGCCGCAGCGAAUUCUUGAAAUACUUGAAGCUACAGCUGCAGGAUAGCCCAGAAAGUCCAGUUUUCGAUCGUCAUGGUACAUUUAAGCGCGGGAUCUCAAACGCCAUAUACGAGCUGCUUUGGCAAGCAUUGCGCUUCAAGCUCAAAAAAGAUGUCGUGCUACAUGUGCUCACAGAUGUUGUGGCACUGCACAAGGAAUUUCCUAGUCUUAUACUGGACGUGGUCAACAUUCUGGAUAGUGAGACAUCCUUGAUGACCGAGGGUUUACAGGAGGAGCGCCAUGGAUUUGUGCAAAUUGUUAAGGAUCUGGACAAGGUGUUGCCGGAGAGUUUGCUUAAGGAACGCUUGGAAAUUGAUACGCUACAGGAAGUGGGAAUUGUGAAGAAUAAAAGUUUCUACACGAAAUUCAUCAAAGUCAAGACUAAGCUCUACUACAAGCAGCGCCGCUUUAAUCUCUUUCGUGAGGAGAGCGAAGGAUUUGCCAAGCUCAUCACUGAAAUGAAUCAGGACUUUGAAGAGCACACAACACCCGAUACCAUAAUGGAUAUAAUUAAAUCCCUAAUAGGCUGCUUUAAUCUUGAUCCCAAUCGUGUGCUGGACAUUAUCAUUGAAUCCUUUGAGACGCGUCCUGAUCGCUGGAAGCUUUUCAUACCUCUUCUGCGUAGCUAUAUGCCCACCGGCGCCAUCAUUUGCGAAGUGCUUGGCUACAAAUUCUGCCACUUUAAGGCGACGCGCACACCGCGCUCUUUAUAUCAUGUGUGCGCACUGCUGCUCAAACAUGGGGUUAUUGAGCUGAACGAUGUUUAUGUCUGGCUAACACCUAACGACGGUAGCAUACGUGCACAUUGGGACGAGGAGAUUGCCGAGGCCAGAGAAAUGGUGCGCAAGCUGCAUGUGAUCUCUACUAACAAGAAGGAGGAGGACAAAGAACCACCACCACCUCCAACGACUAAGAAAUUUGAUGAGGAGAAGUACAAUGCUAAUCAAAAGUUUGGACUGUGCGAGGCUCUGCUCAAAGUUGGCGACUGGGACAACGCACUCAAAAUUAUACAAAAAUUGCCAGACCAGUCGGUUGUUGUACAAGAUCCAAUUGCACGCGCCAUUGUGGAGCUGGUACAUCUGUCAGUCGAGCAGAUUUACUACAAGAAAGUCUUUAAGGCACCAGCCGGUCGGAAGCCCAGCCGUAAUCGCUUGUACGAUGAUGCAGCCCUGGUGGCCAAGAUGCAGGCACAGGAGUUUACAGAUUUGCGUAAGUACACAUGGCCCAUGGCCAAUGUGCUGGGCCCAGCAAUGCACUGCGACACGGUUUUGAUGUAUAAACUGGUACGCAUUAUGGGCAAAAUAUUAUUGGACAUGGGCGUGGAUAGCUUGAAUGGCCCACCGCCGAAUUCGGAGCAAGAACAGCAUUAUUACGACAUAAUCAGCUGCCUGGAUGCAGGCAUACUGCCCUCGUUGCUUUAUUUGGACAGCAAUUGUUCCAUGUCCGAGGAGAUUUGGGCUGUGCUUAAAUUCUUUCCGUAUCAUUUGCGCUACAGCAUGUACGCGCGGUGGAAGAACGAUAGUUAUCAGCUGCAUCCGAAUCUGAUACGACGCUGUGGCCUGGCACAGCGGGACAUUAAGGCACUUAUGAAGCGCGUCAGCAAGGAGAAUGUCAAGCCUCUUGGGCGUUUAGUAGGCAAAUAUAGCCACUGUACACCUGGUCUGCUCUUCGAUUAUAUCCUUGUUCAGAUUCAAAUAUAUGACAAUUUGAUUGGUCCUGUCUGUGACAUGCUCAAGUAUUUGACUGCUCUAUCGUUCGAUUGCCUGGGCUAUUGUAUCAUUGAAUCGCUUACCAUGACGGGUCGCGGUCGCUUUAAGGACGAUGGCACCUCACUCUCACUAUGGCUGCAAAGCCUUGCUUCCUUCUGUGGCACUAUUUACAAAAAGUACAGCAUCGAAAUGAGCGGCCUGCUUCAGUAUGUAGCCAAUCAACUGAAGUCGCAGAAGAGUCUUGAUUUGCUAGUUCUGCGCGAACUUGUCCAUAAAAUGGCCGGCGUGGAGUCGUGCGAAGAGAUGACCAACGAUCAGCUGCAAGCGCUUUGCGGCGGUGAGCAGCUACGUGGCGAGGCGGGCUACUUUAGUCAGGUGCGCAAUACAAAGAAGUCGUCGAAUCGCUUGAAAGAGGCUUUAGCGAAUAACGAUCUCGCCGUCACACUUUGCCUGCUGAUGGCUCAGCAGAAGCAUUGCGUUAUCUAUCGCGAAACGGCUGCACAUAGCCAUUUGAAGUUAGUGGGCAGCCUGUAUGACCAGUGCCAGGAUGCGCUGGUGCAGUUUGGCACAUUCUUAGGAUCCACCUAUUCGGUGGAUGAGUACGUCGAACGUUUGCCAUCAAUAAUCACCAUGUUGCGGGAAUAUCAUAUUAACACCGAUGUCGCCUUCUUCCUGGCACGGCCCAUGUUCACACACCAGAUUAAUCAAAAAUACGAUCAAUUGCGUAAGGCAGAUCCCAAUGCCAAAAAGUUGACGACAGCCCAAAAGCUGCAAAAAUAUUUGGAUGCGACGCAGUUGAUUAUGAAUCCCAUUGUGGAAUCGGUGCGAACGUUGCACAGCGCCAAAGUGUGGGAGGACAUAAGUCCUCAAUUUCUGGUCACUUUCUGGAGCCUGAGCAUGUAUGAUUUGCAUGUGCCCAAUGAGAUUUAUCAACGAGAGAUUGGUAAACUGAAGCAGUUGGCGCUGCAGGCUGCCGAUGGCAAGGAUUCGAAUCAGUCCAAAAACAAAAAGGAACAGGAGCGCUAUAUUGCGCUCAUGGAGAAGCUAAAUGAUGAGCGCAAGAAACAACAUGAGCAUGUAGACAAAAUACUGCAACGCUUGCAGGAACAAAAAGAUGGCUGGUUUCUGUUGCGUUCGGCAAAAUCAGCGAAAAAUGAAACGAUUACACAGUUCCUGCAGCUGUGCCUUUUUGCACGCUGUACUUUCACUGCCCUGGACGCGCUCUACUGUGCCAAGUUCGUUCAGACCAUACAUAAUCUAAAGACAGCCAAUUUCUCCACUCUGCUCUGUUACGAUCGGCUCUUCUGCGACAUUACGUACUCUGUCACAUCAUGCACAGAAGGCGAGGCGACGCGCUACGGUCGCUUUUUGUGCGCCAUGUUGGAGACGGUAAUGCGCUGGCAUGCGGAUCAGGCUGUUUUUAACAAGGAGUGUGCCAAUUAUCCAGGCUUUGUGACCAAAUUCCGCGUCAGCAAUCAGUUUUCGGAGGCUAACGAUCAUGUUGGCUAUGAAAACUUUCGCCAUCUAUGCCACAAAUGGCACUACAAGAUCACUAAAGCAAUUGUAUUCUGUCUGGAUUCUAAGGACUUCAUGCAGAUACGUAAUGCGCUUAUCAUACUAAUGCGCAUUCUGCCCCAUUAUCCGGUGUUAUCCAAGCUAGCGCAGAUUAUCGAACGCAAGGUGGAUAAAGUGCGCGAAGAGGAGAAAACAAAACGGCCGGAUUUGUUUGCCAUUGCCUCCAGCUAUAUUGGCCAGUUGAAGCUGAAGUCUCCGCAUAUGUUCAAGGAGAACGACUUCCAUCAGGUGGCUGAGCGCCCUGUAAAGGAAGCAGCGCCCACGCCGCCCGGUAACGCCGUGAAGGUUCCGUCCGGCGACAAGGCGAAUGCGUCUGCUGCCACAACAACGUCGACACCCACAACGAAAACGGUCAGCAGCUCUCCCUUCUAUGAUCAAAAGGCAGGAGGAAAGGAGCCAGAUGCCAAGGCUGCUCAAACAGCACGCGGUGAGGCUAAGCCGAGCAAACCAGAGGGCACUCCAUCAACAGUGGUGUCCCUCUCAAAGACAGUUUCAGCUCCAUCGAACAGCGAACGCGAGAGCAAACGGGAUGCGUCAGCAGCAGCAGUCAGAGAAACCCAAUCGCAUCGGAGCAUGGAUGCCAAGGAAGACCAGCAGCAGUCCAAUAGCAGCAGUACCCAUAAUAAUAUCAGCAACAUUACAAGCAGUAACAAUAGCAACGGUAAUGGUGGCCAAAGCGAACGACGCAGUCGUGAAAGGGAUCGGGAACGCGAAGAGCGGCACAGCUUAAGCAGUACGCGUAGCUCACAGCGCGAUAGCAAUCGCAACAGCAACAAGGAACGUACCGAGGCCGAGUUACAGCAGCGUGCGCGGGAACGUACACAGCGCCUCGAAGAGCUGGAAGCAGCCGCUUUGCGGGCACAGAAACGUGAGAAACUAUCACGACGCGAUGAACGUAGCCAGCACCGACAUGAUGGCGUGGAGACGGUGGAUCUGGUGUCGGGUAGCGGCAGCAGCAGUCAGAAGCAUCGCCACUACGAUGACUAUGAAGGCCGCCAGCGGGAUCGUGAUCUGAGUUCGGUGUCCAACGAGAGCAACGGUUCGCUGCAGCAUCGACGCAGUCACGAGACAAUUGAAUACGAUAAAGAUUCUAAACGUCGUAAAUUGGAAUCAUCGACAAGCAGUUCAAAGGUUAGUAGCAUAUGGUUGCAUACAUAGUACGCUAAGACAACGACCGACCGAACCGCAACCAACGGAGGGCAUAACUAUAAAUAAAUACAAAAACAAACAAACAAAACUAAAUUUGAGUCCCUGAGAGCAUGAGAGAGACGCCUUAAAACACACACAUGUUCCACCAUCUGGUAUAGACGAGAGGUCAGACCAAUUUCAACAACCAACCCACCAAAAGCAAUAUCUACUCUGGACACGAUUGGAUCUCGUCCUAGUUCACCAAGUGUAUUCUCUAAGUAUACAAUAGAUGCAUACAAUGGGGGUAUUAACUCUAUAGUCUUAAGGUAUAUGUAAAUAUUAAGUUAAGCGCACAGUUCAACUGUUUUGGGAGAAAACAUGUUUAUGUGUUAAGUAUAUGAGAUUUUAGUAGGACAUUAUUGUUUAAUUUUUAGGAAGUUUUUUGCAAAAUAGUCUGUAGCCUCGAUUUUAAGCCUUAUAUAUUGAUGCAAAAUGUUAAGUAGUUUGCGUGUAAGUUAAGAUAGUUAUAUUAAAACAAAUGGACCACAACAACAACUACAAAGGACUAGUCAAGCCGAUGAAGAUAAAAACAAACUCAGGAAGCCAAGCAGAGUCGGUGUAUGCUGCAAAAUCGCACAUUUCUACACAAACAAAGACAACGACGUUUAAAAAACAGUACUACUAUAAACAUAAAAUCAUCAUUGGACCUACAACAUCUUAGACGCACCUUAAUUAAAUAUCGCAUGAGACGCUCAUAUACUCAAGGCCCAAAUCGCUGAUCACAACAACUUCGCCAUUCUAAAUAAACGCAGUCUGGAGAUAAAAUCAAGCAAAACCCAUCGAAACCAUUUGGAUCUAAAGCCAUUUGACGUUUUCAACCCGGAAGGCUAAACAAACAGGAGAGGUGGCAGGUUACUUUGUGUAAAUUAGAUAAAUUUCCACAAAUUAGUCCUGCUAAGCAGAUAGAUGACCACAACUUGGCUAUGCAGACCUAUCCAAACAACGGCAGAAAAUCCCAGGAUGACAAACACUUCAUUCCAAAAACAUAAACAUUCCGAAGAAGAAUCCUUUCAUAUAAAAAAAUUUACCUUACAACACUGCGCGCAAUUGAAUCAGAUGAUAACUGAAGUCUUAGCGAUCCUUUCAACAAAUCAGUUUAUGGAUCUUCACCAGAUAAAUCAGCUAUAUACAAGAAAAUCAUUCCAAAGCAUUUAACCCACGGGUCUUCAUCAGGCUGGAGUCUACAUCUAAGAACCUGAGAUAUCUAUUUUAAAAUAAUGGAAAAAAUAAUUUACUGUUAAAAACCGGCUAACUUCGCAUCAAACGGCCCUUGCUCACUACCUAUAGUAUAACCCAUUUCAAAACGUGGAACAGCAGCUAAUUCUUCAAAGUAGACCUUAAACUACAAUCAGGAAAUUUGCAGUUGUGUGACAAAAGAACUAAAGCUAUUCAAUUCCACAACUUUAAAUCGAAAAGGAGUCGUUAGAGAGUCGAUUAAUCAACAAUGAAGAAAUCACAAAUGCCUUCCAAAAAUUGGACCAAUUCAGCAGCGGAGAAGUCUUUAAAAUCAUCCGAAACUAAAAAAAGUCAACCAAACUCUAUGGAACAAUACAAAAACCUAUCUUAACAAAAAAAGCAACACAAAUUCUACAAAAAAUACAAAAUACCAAAUGGAACACUAUUCCCCCUAGACGAUUGUGCGCCCAGCGUUGUCCAACACUGCUCCGACUCUCCAAUUCAGCACAAUGCCGAUUGCAGAUUAGUUCUUUAUUCGUUGAUCUUGAUUGUGGGCAGACGGAAAGUGGAGGAGCUCGUAGAUAGUGUGAAGAAGGCGCGCGGCCUCAAGACCAAAGAGCGCAAUAAGGAUAAGCUGUCUGACG